GUGUUUUUUUUUUUUUACAGGUUUGGUGACAUUCAGCACAGGAUACAGACAGUGAACAACAUUAAUGAACACUUGGAACCAAUAUGGAGGUGAGCCAAGACCACACACUUGAUGUGUGAAGUGCAUUUGCAUGCAAGGGUCACAUGGGAAACAACAAGAGGGUAUGGUUCAGGUAAGAACUCUUUACACCAGUCCAUCAUACAGUGACAGUGCCUGUACAAUUGAUGGAUCAGACUUGGAGCCCUCACGGAAUUCCUCCAUUGACAACUUGCCAUCAGCAUUCUGUGGAAUAGAACAUAGCAUUUCGACAAAGCAGCACUGAAGAAGAAGUUCAAGAGAGAAGAAUUCAAGUCCAUUAUAAAGUAUUUGACAGAAAUAAGAGUAACUAAUUUAUUAAUUUAAAAACCAAAAUUAACAAACAGUAUAUUCUAAGAUACAUAACUUGUUCUAAGUCAAGGUUAAACAGAGAAUGAAAAGACUCACACAGUCAGUAAUCCUCCUUACUCUCUACCAUACAUUUCUUAUGAUGUUGCUUUAAAGAAUUUGGUAUUGGAUCAACUAAUAAUCCCCUAAUUGAUAUUUUUCCAUAUUCACAUCAAUUGUCUUCUGAAUAUUGUAUUAACAUUGCUAGGAGAAAUUCUGUUUUGGUCACUCAUGGGAGUUCAAGGGUUAAUCAUUGGACUAAUUUAUAUUUUAUCUCAAAAUCUGUAGGCUGUGUAUACACUUAACUCUUCGUGGAGAAGGAAAUAAAUAAAUUAGAGCAGGCAUGAUUAAAUUUCAAAUCCUGAGAAUUUGAGUUUAUCUAUACAAUUAACAUACUUAGACAAAUUUAUGAAAUAUUCCUUUCUAUGUGUCUUUUUAAUGUAAUUAAAUGUAUUUACUGUACAUACAGUAUCCAUUUGAUUAAAAAUUCUAUUCACUCUCUUUUCUGGAGUAUCUUCAUCCUCAGGUAACUUUACCAUGGUGGCCUGUAAAAGAGUAAAUUCUGUAAGGUUGUUUUACAUACUGAAUCAAAAUUAGUUGUUAAAAUAUCUACACUGGUUGCCAGUAUUCCAAUCCUCAUGGCUAAAACUUGUGUGUUGACCCUUUACCCCUAUUGCAUCACAUUCAGUAUGUAUAUUCUCACUGCUGUUCUUUAUAAUUUCCUGAGGUGCUGACAAGGAGAAUUUGUUUAAUAAUCAAGAGCUUCUUUAGUAGGUGAUCAUUUCUUUUAUUAUUGAGACCUUAAGGAAAGAUUUGGGGGUGAUAUUGUGAGAAAUUAGAUGCUGGUCACUGUCAGGGGCCAAAGGGUUGACAAUGUACAGCUGUAGAGAGAACAAGUUCCCUCACUUACCACCAUUUUGUAAAUUGAAUCCACUAUAUGAAGCAUUUCCUCUUUAGUUAUAUAACCAUCAUCAUCCAAGUCAUACAGCUUAAAAGCCCCUGAAAAAAAUUUUUUUUUCACAUCUUGGAUUAAAAAAAUUAAUCGAUACAAAACCUCUCAUAGAUAUUUGUCUGUCAGACAAUGGGCUUAUAGACUUAGAAUUGAUUAUUUUAAGUAGUUUUAUGAAUUAUCAAUAUUUCACUUUUCAUCUCCCUCACAGUUCCCCACACUUGACAAAAAGGUAAAUAUGGGCUAGGUAUUACUACUGACACAGUUAAUAACCUCAUAUUAGAAAAGUACAAGUCACUUACACUGCAGUUUUUCAUCAAUACUUCCUCUUGAGGUUACUGACAGAGCACAAAUAAACUCUCUAAAUUCAAUAGUUCCAUCCUAAGGAGAAAAUAACAAAAAUGCCAGCUUUUUACCAUGUGAAAAUCAGUGAUAAGAUUCAUCUGUAUUAACCCAUACACUCCUAGGAUCUAAAUAUUUAUGAAAUGUAAUGUCUGUUGUCUAUUCUCAUGAUUUUGGGACUGAAGAUGUGGUUUGAAAUAAAAAAAAUAUUACUGUUCUGCCAGAAAAUGGAUUAGUGUUGGAGGGAGAAUUAGGGUCAAAAAAGAUUCUUCAAAUUUAAGUUUGACCUCAUUGGGAUAUUAAUCUUAUGGCAAAUCUUGAUCACGAGGGAAAUCUGGAAUUUAUACCUAUA
This is a non-coding RNA of Pocillopora verrucosa, 2066 nucleotides long. The record is from RefSeq and is a predicted model, not a curated record. NCBI's taxonomy places the organism in Eukaryota, Metazoa, Cnidaria, Anthozoa, Scleractinia, Pocilloporidae.